GCCUAGGUGGCUCAGUCAGUUAAGCGUCUGACUUUGGCUCAGGUCAUGAUCUCACUGUUUGUGGGUUCAAGCCCCACGUCGGGCU
This 85-nucleotide transfer RNA is filed under the name Felis catus (domestic cat). It matches the Rfam family "tRNA". From Rfam's summary of the family: Transfer RNA (tRNA) molecules are approximately 80 nucleotides in length. Their secondary structure includes four short double-helical elements and three loops (D, anti-codon, and T loops). Further hydrogen bonds mediate the characteristic L-shaped molecular structure. tRNAs have two regions of fundamental functional importance: the anti-codon, which is responsible for specific mRNA codon recognition, and the 3' end, to which the tRNAs corresponding amino acid is attached (by aminoacyl-tRNA synthetases). tRNAs cope with the degeneracy of the genetic code in two manners: having more than one tRNA (with a specific anti-codon) for a particular amino acid; and 'wobble' base-pairing, i.e. permitting non-standard base-pairing at the 3rd anti-codon position. Lineage: Eukaryota; Metazoa; Chordata; Mammalia; Carnivora; Felidae. RNAcentral also lists the same sequence under 2 other names. The record is from Rfam by way of RNAcentral.